UAAGUGGGUAAUCCUAUGCUGCCAAGAAAAGCCUCUAGCGGGUGUUAAAGCCGCCCGUACCCCAAACCGACACAGGUGGUCAGGUAGAGAAUACUAAGGCGAUCGAGAUAACUAUGGUUAAGGAACUCGGCAAAAUGCCCCCGUAACUUCGGGAGAAGGGGGGCCCGUUCUGGUGAGGAGAUUUACUCUCCGAGCUGGGAUUGGCCGCAGAGACCAGGCCCAAGCGACUGUUUACUAAAAACACAGGUCCAUGCUAAGUCGCAAGACGCUGUAUAUGGACUGACGCCUGCCCGGUGCUGGAACGUUAAGGGGACGGGUUAGCGACUUCGGUCGCGAAGCUCAGAACUUAAGCGCCAGUAAACGGCGGUGGUAACUAUAACCAUCCUAAGGUAGCGAAAUUCCUUGUCGGGUAAGUUCCGACCUGCACGAACGGCGUAACGACUUGGGCGCUGUCUCAACCGUAGACUCGGCGAAAUUGCACUACGAGUAAAGAUGCUCGUUACGCGCGGCAGGACGAAAAGACCCCGGGACCUUUACUACAGCUUGGUAUUGGUGGUCGAUUCGAUUUGUGUAGGAUAGGUGGGAGACUGUGAACUUCGGACGCCAGUUCGAAGGGAGUCAUCGUUGAAAUACCACUCUGAUCGUAUUGGCUGUCUAACCUAGAUCCGUAAUCCGGACCAGGGACAGUGCCUGGUGGGUAGUUUAACUGGGGCGGUUGCCUCCUAAAAUGUAACGGAGGCGCUCAAAGGUUCCCUCAGCCUGGUUGGCAAUCAGGUAUCGAGUGUAAGUGCACAAGGGAGCUUGACUGUGAGACUGACGGGUCGAGCAGGGACGAAAGUCGGAACUAGUGAUCCGGCGCUGGCAAGUGGAAGCGGCGUCGCUCAACGGAUAAAAGGUACCCCGGGGAUAACAGGCUGAUCUUGCCCAAGAGUCCAUAUCGACGGCAUGGUUUGGCACCUCGAUGUCGGCUCGUCGCAUCCUGGGGCUGGAGUAGGUCCCAAGGGUUGGGCUGUUCGCCCAUUAAAGCGGCACGCGAGCUGGGUUUAGAACGUCGUGAGACAGUUCGGUCCCUAUCCGCCGCGCGCGUAAGAGUCUUGAGAAGAUCUGUCCCUAGUACGAGAGGACCGGGAUGGACGAACCUCUGGUGUGUCAGUUGUCCUGCCAAGGGCACUGCUGAUUAGCUACGUUCGGAAGAGAUAACCGCUGAAAGCAUCUAAGCGGGAAACUCGCUUCAAGAUGAGGGCUCUCACAGGGUUAACCUGGUAAGGCCCCCAGUAGACCACUGGGUUGAUAGGCCGGAAGUGGAAGUGCGGUAACGCAUGCAGCUGACCGGUACUAAUAGGCCGAGGACUUGACC
This 1357-nucleotide ribosomal RNA is filed under the name metagenome. Its description in RNAcentral is "bacterial LSU rRNA". It matches the Rfam family "Bacterial large subunit ribosomal RNA", at positions 1587 to 2925 of the family's 2925-position model. The record is from RNAcentral.